This 215-nucleotide long non-coding RNA is filed under the name Homo sapiens (human). RNAcentral describes it as "non-protein coding lnc-THSD7B-1:1". Lineage: Eukaryota; Metazoa; Chordata; Mammalia; Primates; Hominidae. The record is from RNAcentral.
AAUUUAUGGAUUACAUCAAUGAGCUCCCUUGAACCCUGGAUUCUGGUAGGCAUCAUCAGGCAAGAAGCACUGGCAUGAGAUUAGAGAGCAAAAAGAGAAUAUUCAGCCAACUGUCUUCCUGCUGGAUGGCCAAGGAAUGAUUAUAUUCCUCUAAUGAAGGCCACAGCUUCUGUAAAGUGAGUGGCUCUCUUUUAUAGCUAGAGAUUUUGCUUCUG